UGUGUAUUUGUUUAUGUACAGUAUGCAUUCACUUAUGUAUGUUUUGUUUGAUGGUCUGGAUAAAGAGGCAGAAUUGUCCCGAAAAAUGCAUGUCUUGGCACUCCCAGACAGAUCCAGGAUCCUGGGUUGUAGGCCCCUCUUCUGACUCUAGGUGUACUGCAUACGCCCUUUGACAGUGAUGAAGUAUAGAUUAAUUUUAACGCUAUGCUAUUCGAUGUAUUUAUGUGCAUAUGGCGCCCCCAGCCGUUAAAAAGUUUUAAAAGGAUGUGCUACAUUUUUCUUGUAAUCUUUUACAUUGAAAUGGGACAUAUACUGGUUAAAUUCAGUAUUAUUUGUUGCUUUCAUUUUCUUUUCUUAAAACCUUGCUUCAUUUAUUUGUUCAUCAUUUUUCUUUAGGGGUUGAGAAGGGAAGAUUUAAAAAUUCCAGCUAACAUUGUUGGUGAUACGUGUGCUUGUGCUGCUGUCUGCUUUGCAAACCUGCAGGACAUCAUGGAAAUGGCUGCCCAAAAUGCAAAUUUACACUUGGAAAGCAUAAUUGCAAAGCUGACGUUGAGGGUGAAAAGUCUUCUGCAGCGCUACUACAGUGAGGGUAAACCAAGAACAAAAUGUGUGAAACGUCUGACUACAGGCAACUUUUUUGUAAACUAUGAAGCCUUCUUCAAAAAAUGGAAUGAGAAGAACUGUACUAUCUAAUGUUAAGAAAUGUAAGUUCAUGUACAAAUCAUGAGCUUAAACCUAUUUUAAAUCUGUUUUUUGCCAUGUAUUCAAGAAAAUUAAACAUUAUAUUCC
RNAcentral lists this long non-coding RNA (789 nucleotides) under Lepisosteus oculatus (spotted gar). Its description in RNAcentral is "lncRNA (ENSLOCG00000022660.1)". The record is from RNAcentral. Lineage: Eukaryota; Metazoa; Chordata; Actinopteri; Semionotiformes; Lepisosteidae.